This 1147-nucleotide ribosomal RNA is filed under the name Acinetobacter baumannii. RNAcentral's name for it is "bacterial LSU rRNA". It matches the Rfam family "Bacterial large subunit ribosomal RNA", at positions 1653 to 2925 of the family's 2925-position model. Lineage: Bacteria; Pseudomonadati; Pseudomonadota; Gammaproteobacteria; Moraxellales; Moraxellaceae. The record is from RNAcentral.
ACCGACACAGGUGGUCAGGUAGAGAAUACCAAGGCGCUUGAGAGAACUCGGGUGAAGGCAAAAUGGUGCCGUAACUUCGGGAGAAGGCACGCUGACAUGUAGGUGAAGCGGUGGAGCUGAAGUCAGUCGAAGAUACCAGCUGGCUGCAACUGUUUAUUAAAAACUGUGCAAACACGAAAGUGGACGUAUACGGUGUGACGCCUGCCCGGUGCCGGAUUGAUGGGGUUAUCGCAAGAGAAGCUCCUGAUCGAAGCCCCGGUAAACGGCGCUAUAACGGUCCUAAGGUAGCGAAAUUCCUUGUCGGGUAAGUUCCGACCUGCACGUAAUGAUGGCCAGGCUGUCUCCACCCGAGACUCAGUGAAAUUGAACUCGCUUGCAGUGUACCCGCGGCAAGACGGAAAGACCCCGUGAACCUUUACUACAGCUUAACAUUGAGCCUUGAUGUGUAGGAUAGGUGGGAGGCUUUGAAGCGUGGACGCCGUGGAGCCGACCUUGAAAUACCACCCUUUAAUGUUUGAUGUUCUAACCUGGCGCCGGCGUGGGGACAGUGUCUGGUGGGUAGUUUGACUGGGGCGGUCUCCUCCCAACGGAGGAGCACGAAGGUCAGCUAAUCCUGGUCGGACAUCAGGAGGUUAGUGCUAAGCUGGCUUGACUGCGAGAGUGACGGCUCGAGCAGGUGCGAAAGCAGGUCACCGGUGGUUCUGUAUGGAAGGGCCAUCGCUCAACGGAUAAAAGGUACUCCGGGGGCUGAUACCGCCCAAGAGUUCAUAUCGACGGCGGUGUUUGGCACCUCGAUGUUCACAUCCUGGGGCUGAAGUAGGUCCCAAGGGUAUGGCUGUUCGCCAUUUAAAGCGAGCUGGGUUUAGAACGUCGUGAGACAGUUCGGUCCCUAUCUGCCGUGGGCAAUUGAGGGGGGCUGCUCCCAGUACGAGAGGACCGGAGUGGACGCAUCACUGGGUUGUCAUGCCAAUGGCACUGCCCGGUAGCUAAAUGCGGAAGAGAUAAGUGCUUCUAAGCACGAAACUUGCCCCGAGAUGAGUUCUCCCUGAGACUGUAAGUCUCCACGUUGAAGACGACGACGUUGAUAGGCCGGGUGUGUAAGCGCAGCGAUGCGUUCCGGUACUAAUGAACCGUGAGGCUUAACCUU